GAAAGAAUUACUGUGAAAUAGGAAAUAAAUAAUUGGGAAACUUUCUAAGGUCUGAGGCAGGUUCCUCACACUUUGCAUUAUCCAUUGGUGGUAGAAUGUGUAAAACAAAUCCCCUCAAAUGUUCCUUUGCAGAUGGUACAACCUUUUUAUGGGGGCAAAGAAUGUUUGUAUGGCCCUGGCAUUCUCUGGCCCUAUUAAUAAGAGGCCAAAGUCCCAGUUCGAAAAGUUUAUAUUAUAAAAAGUGGAGCUAGGGGAUUUAAGCCAUUUCCAGGUAAAUCUGGAAUUUUUUAAUGAUGAAAUGCAGUUGCUAGCAUUUCAAAGCAGCUUUCUGGUAUAAGCCCUUUGCAGUAACGUUAAAGAGAAUAUUCUGAAUGUUACAGAUGCACUUAAAAAAGGGGGGGUUUGGUGUUUCUGAAGGUGCUGGCUACUGUGGUUCAGAACAUUAGAGGGCAGUGGCAAAUCAGUCUGUGUGAGAUGAGCUGGCCUCACUCCCACAGUGAAACCCCAGGCUCCAUCCUGCACCUUGCUGCCUGAGCAUUUAUCCCAGAAAUAAUGUUCUUGUGGGGAGGAAGAAUAAAAAGUGAAGUACUGCUGGCUGUUUAGCAGCUAAUUAACUCUUUCUAUGUGCAGCAGCUGCCUGUGGGUCAGGCCCUGCCCAGCUCGGAGCUGUUUGUCUCUGUCACUCUGCCAGAGGAUCCCUCUGUCCCUGCACAGGUUUGGUUGACCUUCACUGUCAGCAGAUGGGAGUCACUGCUGCAGCCUGAGCACAAGGAAGGUGCCCAUGGGCAGCUGAGCUGGGAUCCCUUCCUGGCAGAAAACUUUGCAGCAUCCCUGAGCUUCCUGAUGUUUGCAACAAACAGCUGUGCCAAAAUUGGGAAGAUCAAGAUGGACACAGAGGCCAGGAUUCCUGGGUGGCUGAGGGAGCUGAACCUUGCUCUUCACUCUGAGGUGUUAAAGCAGGAGCCUGCUCUGGCCUGGGAAAGCUCAGAAUGAACACAGCCCUUGGUGAGUGUCCAGUGCAGGGGGAUGCAAGCAGGGCUGUGACUCAUGCCUUUUCCCAGCAAUUAAUUUAAAAAUAGAAUUGAAGUUGAAAUAUGCUCUGAAGGUCAGAAUAUCAGGGCAGUGUGUGCCUGCUGGUUUUUCCUGGGUAAGGUGUUGAGAGAGGACAAAGUAUUCUUCAUUUUCAAAGUCACUCUGUUGCCCAUAUAGUCUGUGUAGAAAAUGAAUUUUCUUUGUAUUCCCUACUGCAGUAAAAAGAGACAUUACCUCCAUAUAGCUAUUUUCUGCUCUGCUUUUUGUUUGACUCAACAGUUGCUCUGUCACGUUUGAUACUGUGGUUUCACAAAGUUUUGCAGUGACCUUAUUUACCUGUUUUUCUAGAUAAAAAUCUCCACCGCAGUUGCUAACUGAUCCUGAACUUAAACGACUGCCUUAGGGAGAGGCAGUAAUCACUUUACUCCUGCAUGUUUUAACCUCUUACUCAGC
This 1485-nucleotide long non-coding RNA is filed under the name Chloebia gouldiae (Gouldian finch). Its description in RNAcentral is "Erythrura gouldiae (Gouldian finch) lncRNA (ENSEGOG00005015919.1)". Lineage: Eukaryota; Metazoa; Chordata; Aves; Passeriformes; Passeridae. The record is from RNAcentral.